UAACCGUAAGUGAACCUGCGGAAGGAUCAUUACCGAAUUUGAUUAUCUUCUUUCUGUGAAUUUAAUAAUGACUUGCUUCGGCGGGUGUUAUGGUUGAUUGAUGACUUCUUUUUGAGUUGUCUCUUUUCUCCUUACCCGCCGAAAGGUUAAACUCAACAAAUUAUUUUUUGUCUAAACAAAUAAAACUAAUAGAUCAAAACUUUCAGCAACGGAUCUCUUGGUUCUC
Molecule: unclassified non-coding RNA, 226 nt
Filed under: soil metagenome
Description: partial contains small subunit ribosomal RNA, internal transcribed spacer 1, and 5.8S ribosomal RNA
Source: RNAcentral